CUAUGUGUUGUUGGGUAGGGGAGCGUUCUGUAAGCCUGCGAAGGUGACCUGUGAGGGUUGCUGGAGGUAUCAGAAGUGCGAAUGCUGACAUAAGUAACGAUAAAGCGGGUGAAAAGCCCGCUCGCCGGAAGACCAAGGGUUCCUGUCCAACGUUAAUCGGGGCAGGGUGAGUCGACCCCUAAGGCGAGGCCGAAAGGCGUAGUCGAUGGGAAACAGGUUAAUAUUCCUGUACUUGGUGUUACUGCGAAGGGGGGACGGAGAAGGCUAUGUUAGCCGGGCGACGGUUGUCCCGGUUUAAGCAUGUAGGCGGAGGUUCCAGGUAAAUCCGGUACCUUUUAACGCUGAGGUGUGAUGACGAGGCACUACGGUGCUGAAGUAACAAAUGCCCUGCUUCCAGGAAAAG
This 403-nucleotide ribosomal RNA is filed under the name Klebsiella variicola. RNAcentral's name for it is "partial 23S ribosomal RNA". It matches the Rfam family "Bacterial large subunit ribosomal RNA", at positions 1214 to 1617 of the family's 2925-position model. The record is from RNAcentral. Lineage: Bacteria; Pseudomonadati; Pseudomonadota; Gammaproteobacteria; Enterobacterales; Enterobacteriaceae.